AGGUGAUAUAUUGAAAAUAGGUAUAUGAAAUUAAUAUUAUUUUAAGGAUAAUGAAUCAAAAUUUUAAAUAAUGAUAAAAAGAUAUAAUUAUAUCAAUCAUAAUCAUGAAAAUGAAAAUAAAAAUAAAACCUAGUGGAAUGAAACAUCUGAGUAACUAGUUAAAUAACCAACAGGGAUAAUAUAAGUAACGGUGAGUGAAAAUAUUAAAAUCUUAAAGUAUUGCCUAGAGGUAAGAAUACAGUAGUUUCCAACUACUAAGAAUAUAAAUAAAAUUUUAGAUUAAAGUACUGUAAGGGAAAAUUAAGAAAUAGAAUAAUAAAGAGCAGUCAUAGUAUGGCGUACCUCUUGUAUAAUGGGCCAGUGAGUUAUAUAAUUUAGUGAAAAAUAUAUGUUUAUUUUUAUAUAUAAAUAGAUAGAUAAUUAAAUUAUAUAGGCCCGAAAGCAAACGAUCUACACAUGUCCAAGUGUAUAUAUAUAUCUUAAAAAAUUAUAUAUAUAUGACUCAAUAGGUAAUUGUAGCAAUAAUUUCUAAAGAGGUGUGUGUAGUUGUGACAGACAAAUCUGGUUUGCAGAUAGCUGGUUUUCUGCGAAAUAUAUUUUAGUAUAGCCUUUAUUAUUUUUUAAACUGGUACAGCACUUAAAUAACUUUGGGGAAUUAGAAUAUAAUUUUAUCAAAAUAUUUAAACCUCGGAAUCAGUUAAUAAUUUAUAUAAGGAGUCAGACUUAUUGCGAUAAGGUAGUAGGUCGAGAAGGAAACAACCUAGACUAUUAAAUGAAUGUCCCAAAUAUUAAUUAAGUGAACAAAAUCUAUCCUACUUUAAACGAGUUAAUACUCGGGGAAUUAAAUUAUAGACAAUUAGUAAGUGGGUUUGACAAUAAUCAACUUUUAAUGAACAUGUAACAAUGCACUAAUUUUAUAUAUAUAUAUAAUUUAUAUAUUUAUUAAUAAUAGAGAAAAUAUACGGGUCUAAAUUAAUAACAGUAUUAUAGAUAUAAUGCCCUCCCUUUGGGAGGGAAUACCCCAGCUUUGCUGGGGAAUGAAAGUUAUAUGGUAGCAGAAUAUAUAAUGUAAAAUUAUAAAGAGAUUGCUGGCUUGAGUAACGAUAGAUAAUAUAAGAUUAUCCCCUUAUUCAUAAGGUUUUACUAUAAACGAACGGUCCCUAAGAUAAAUAUAGAAGUAUAUAAUUAAUGGGUGAAAGAACAAGAAAAUGAAAAUGAACCGUACUGUAAACCGACACAGGUAUGAUAAAUAAAGGGAAUGGGAUAACUACUUUGAAUGAACUCGGCAAAAUAAAUCGUGCGACUGUUUACCAAAAACAUAGCUUAUUGCAUACUAGUAAUAGUAAGUAUAAUAAGUGAUAUCUGCCCGGUGUUAGUUCAAUAAAUAUUGUUAUUAAAUAGAUAACUUUAUAAAAAACUGAUAAACGGCGGUCUUAUUGUGAGGAUCCGAAGGUAGCGGUGCGACAAGAAGUUCGUAUUAAGAAUGUGGUGUAACUCCACUAACAACAAUCGUAUUUGUUAAAUCUAUCUUAACAUGCAUUAUGAGCAAUUAUUUUGUAUGAAGCUUAAGAGACAAAGGUGAUAAGCUUUAGCUGAUAUAAGUGAACUCAUCCAGAUUAGAACGACAUGAUUAGUAUAUCAAAACAGUGGACUAAAAUUUCGUUAAAGGAGAAUAACAUGAUCAGUAGGGUUAUUAAAAUGACUAGAAAGAAAAUCAUCGCUGCAGAUUUCUUUAUACGAUUGUAAAAAAAACAAGGGUCAUCGGAAUAUAGCUGUAAUCUAAAUCGUUCAAUAAAAGUCUUAAUACGGGAACUUGGUAAACCUUUAACACCCCUAUCCAGGAAACUGAAUAGGAAGUAACAUAUAAAAUAAUUUAGCAGAUUAUAGAAAUUGUUAUACAGUGUUGGAGGCAAAGGAUAAACAGAAAAAGCGAAAGGUUUUACGUAAUAUAAAACAUAUAGAUAAAUAUCUAAUUUCGAAAGAAAGCAGACUUCUGUAUAAGGCUAAUAGAUCAAAAACGUAAUUUGACUUGAAUUUUAGCAUUUAAUUUCGUAAUAAACUUGGGUGCUUAUUUAUAUAAGAGAUGGAAUAUUACUUCUUAAUUAAAUGAUCCUUUCUAAAUUUUAGAAGUUACCUUUAUUCGAAAGGAAAAAUAAUAAUAAAAAACUAUGAAAUGAUAAAAUGAAAUUGAGACUUAAUAAACUGAAACAUUGUUAACAAACAUGUUUUCAAAAUACAAAUGAAAUUGGUGACAGCAAUAAAUAAUAACGAUUUAAAAAAGAUGGAAGCUUUACAGAGAAUAUUAAUAAGAAAUCACUGAGCUAAAUUGUUAGCUAUUAAAAAGGUAUUAUCAACAUCUGGAAGUAAAACUCCAGGAAUAGAUAAUUUCAAAGUUAAAGAUGAAAUAGAUAUACAAUAUCUAUAUAAGUUUUUAAGCAAUAUUAAUAGAUAUAAAGCAUACCCAGUUAAGAGAGUAGGUUUUCCUAAGGAGAAUGGUAAAACAAGAUAUCUGGGUAUACCUACUAUUCAAGAUAGAUGUAUGCAAAGUUUAUUUACAUUGGCUUUAUAUCCAUAUUCUGAAACAACGGCGGAUUAUAAUUCAUAUGGUUUUAGACCUAAUAAAUCAACUAAUGAUGCGAUAUAUGUUUUAUAUAAAAGUCAGUUUGAAAAAUCAAGUGCUUUACCUAAAAUAAACUGAGUUCUAGAUGCUGAUAUCAAAGGUUUAUUUGAUAACAUAUCACAUGAAUGAAUCUUGAAUAAUAUUCCUAUCAAUAAGGUAAUCUUAAAUGAAUUCCUGAAGGCUGGUUUCUUUGAAGCUGGUUUGAAAGAACUUCAAUCAACAAAUUUAGGAAUACCCCAAGGUGGACUAAUUUCACCGAUGAUAGCCAAUAUUACUUUGGACGGUUUAGAAAAAUAUGUAAAGGACGGUUUAAAAGAGAAGAAUAUUUAUUCUUCGAUUAUCUUUAAAACUAGAAUGAUUAGAUAUGCGGACGAUUUUAUAUUUAUAUGUCCUCAUAAAUGGGUUGCUGAAAGAUGUCUUUACUUUGUAAAUAAAUUCCUAAGCAUUAGAGGGUUAAAACUUAAUAUGGAUAAAAGUAAAAUAAUAGAUAUUUCCAAAGAAAGAGUUGAUUAUCUUGGAUUUUCCAUCAUAAGGACAAACGAUAAUAAGAAAACUCUUAUUAUUCCAAAUCCUGAAAAAGUUGAUACCUUUAUUAGAAAAAUUCUUAAACUUAUUAAGAAAUCAAAUAAACCUUAUGACAUUAUCGUAACGCUUAACCCCAUUUUAAUGGAUUGAGCCAAUUAUUAUAAAGGUUGUUCGGCUACUGAUACUUUUAAUAAAGUGGAUAGAGCUAUUCAUAUUGGAUUAAUUAAGUGAGGUAAAAAGAGAUUAUUGACAAGAUCCACAAGAGAUGUUUAUAAUAAGUACUUCCAUAUGAAAGAUAAAACUAAAGAAUUAUUCUUCUACGAUAAAAUAAGUAAUGGUAAAUUUAUAUGGCUAUAUGAUCUGAAAUCUGUAAAGAUUAAAUAUCAUAAAUAUAUUAAUAACUCAGUUUUCAAAUUAAGAAAGACUAAAUAGUAGAAAUUUUAAUAAAUCUGAAUUAUUGGAUGUUGGUAGACGGAUAGGAAAUCUGUCUAUUUCUAUAGUUUGAGCCGUGUGCGAUGAAAGUCGCACGCACGGUUCUAGAGGGGGGAAAGUCUGAGAGGACCUACCUAUCCUGACAAAUUCAUUGACGUAUAAUUGACGUCCUGCAUGAAUGAAUAAACGAUGCGAUAACUGUAUCCAAAGUAGACUCAGUGAAAUAGCAAUUGCGGUGAAAUUAGUACUAUUAUAUCAUAUUGAUAUUUUUACGCCGGGUUGGUGAAAAUCCAACUUUAUAGUUAUAUCUUAGAUGAAUAUUAAUAAAUAAGAAUACAAUCGAAUAAUAUUCUACUUUUUUUUUAAAAAGGUAAUUUACAUAUAGGCAAUAUGUAUUUUAUAAAUAAUUAUAAAUAAAAGGUGAAAACGGUUAAUGACAUCUUAGUUAAAGACCGUCGGCAGUUGUAUAUGUCGCUACAGACUGGUUCACCGAGGUUAGACUGAAAUGUCUGUCUAAAUGUACAGUCGGAUUCUGUAAUAUAAUAUUAAUGUAUUAUAUAAAGGUGAAAGAUAUAAACCCAAAUUGGGUCUAAGCUUAUUAGUACAGAAGUAAUAAACCUUUAUGGGUCAAACCCAUUUAAGUUAAUCAGAAUUGGAAGAUGCCGUAUAUCCGUAGGUUGACAAAAAGACCCUAUGCAGCUUUACUAUAUCUUUAUUUUGAUUUUUACCUUCGGGUUUACUUUUUUUAUUCAUUUCAGUAGAUUAGGUUAUAUUUAUAUUUUAAAUAAAAUGAGAUACCUAUAUAAAUGAAAAAAGAAUCUAAUUAAUUUAAAACAUAUAUGCCGGCCCUCUGGGCGGGUUAUGAUAAUAUUUAAGAAAGAGUAAAGAGGUUAGUUUCGAUGGGGCGUCGACAUCAGCGAAAGCAUCUGAUGUGUCUAAUAAUAAUGAUUUUGAUAAUAAUCAAAACUAAAUAUUGAAUUAAAUUUUUUAUUUAAUAGUAAAAUACGUACAAUAAUUCUAUAUGGUAAAUAGAAUAAAAGAUUAUAAGUAAGGAUAACAACAUAAUUGUGCGAUGAUAAUAACACAAACAAGUGAAAUUAGUACAUAAGUAGAGUGUAGUGAACAGGCAUAAACAAUUGGUAUGGAUGUCGAUAACGAAUUAAAGUUACGCUAGGGAUAAAAUGUUAGUCCCUUAUAUAUAGAAAUAUAUAUUUUAUAACAAAAUUGGGUGAAUUGCAUAAAAGUCUUAAUCAUAUCGGUAUAAGAUGAUAACCUCAAAAGAGAUAAUCAACUUUAUGAAAAGAUAAUUUGCAGCGAAGUUUAUAUUAGUUUCUUUGUAGAUAUAAAAACGUUCAACGACUAGUAGAUGAGUAAACUAACAAUAAUUCUACCACGAGCGCCCAACAUCUAAGAUUUAGAAAAAUAUAAAAAUAAAUUAUGAUGAUGACAUAGUCUGAACUAUAUAGAAAUAUAUAGAAGUUGAUAUAAAGAGAUCAACGAUAACAAAAUUGAACAGGGUAAUACCGCGUGAGAGUUGAUAUCGUCAGCGGUGUUUGCCACCUCGAUGUCGUCUAGACUCGUCCUCCUGGUCGCAGCAACUAGGUAGGGUAGGACUGUUCGUCCUCUAAGGAGUUACUUGAGAUGGGUUAAUUACGACGUGAGUCAGUAAUGAUUUUAUCAUCUAUGGAUCUUAACUUAUCUGUUGCCUUAAGUGUACGCAAGGAUAAUAAGGUACUUUCCUAUGGUUAAUUUAUUUAAUUUAGCUAAGAAUGUUGUGUUUACAUAUUGAAUGCAUAUCAAAUAUUAAAUCCUUCAGAUAAGUUUUUAACAUUAUAGACUAUAAUGUAUUAGUAAUUUUGUAUAAGAUUGCAAAAAUAAACCCCCAGUUUUGCUGGGUGGAAACUAAAUAAUAAAAUUCAUAUACCU
This 5503-nucleotide ribosomal RNA is filed under the name Metschnikowia sp. 04-226.1. The record is from RNAcentral. Lineage: Eukaryota; Fungi; Ascomycota; Pichiomycetes; Serinales; Metschnikowiaceae.